GGGGAGUUCUGAAGGGCGACCCUAAAGAUGGAGAGCAGGAGAUGAAGACUCACCACCCCCUCAACAUCAAACCCCCGCUAACGAAACCGGAAUCCUCCUCGGCCUGGGCAUCCCGCCCCUGCUCGGUGCCCCGCUUCUCUUCCCCCCUGUGCUCCCCCGUUAGGGUCUGGUAGCCGAGACAGCUGGAUGUCCAGCGCCAGACCCUUCCCCCCAGAAACCUGGCCCCUGUUUUACAAGGCAAUCAAGAGGCCUGUCCUUACAACUGUUCAGGACCCAGAACUAUUGAAGAUGACUCCAUUUUCUCCACAGUGGAAGAAGAAGGAAAAAAGUCAAACAUUCAUCUAUUGAUGAUAGUACCAACAAAAUCCUGGGGACCAUCGUCCAUAAAGCCCAAAUGGUCAGAACCAGUCUUCCCUGUUGCACCGGAUCCUGAAGAAGGACCAACAGAAGAGUUUUAAAAAGAAAUUGAGUGACACAAAACUAAGGACAAGAGUGAUUCAGAAAAAAAAAAAGAAAGAGAAAUGGUGGAACCCAAGGCCUUAAAUGAUGCUGGGCUGAUGGUGCAAGGACUCCACUGUGAAGUUGGCCCAAGCCCCAAGAAAACUCCUAAGAAUAAAACUUUUAAGGAUCCCAAAGAUGGCUCCCAAGCCCAAGGACCCACCAGAGGAAAUUAGUCAAGUCCUAGAAAUAUUUGAGAAGAACAAGGAAAGGAUUUCCUUACUGUGUGACUUUAUCUGCCAAAAACCUACUUUGUCCAUCCUUCACCAGAAGUGCCCAAGACCAACUGAGGACAGCCUCCACCAGACUGUCCAGAAAAAGACUAUGGAGGCUAAGGGCACGUGCCUUUUCCCCAAAUGUGCAGUCUGGGCAAAUGGUCCUGUUGUGAAGCCUAGUUUACAGCCACGAAAACUCCUUCAUUCCUAAGCUACUAUAUUUACAAAGCCCCUCCCCAGGACCCAAGGCCCCCCCGGACCUCUCCGUACCUCUCCGUACCUGCGCAAGCCACUUAACCACCAGGUGGCACUAACUGGCCGCUUGCUCCGAGGGAAGUGAGGAGGAGGUCCCUGAAGUCCAUGAGUGGGAGGGCCACCCUGGCCCUCCUAGGAAUCCUUUGUCCUCCCUUAGGCCCUGGUUGGGACCAGCUUUGAGGAUGGGUCCUAAAUUUUCAAGGAAUAAUAAUAAGAAUAAACAUGAGGCCCAGGCCAAUGCAAUCUGUCUCUUGAGCUUGUCCUCCUAAAACACACAAGCUAAGCAGCCCAGCUUGCUCUUGGAGCCACCAUCCCAUGGCUUGGAAAUUGUUACCCAGAAUUUGGCAGGAAUAAUGCCAAAUAUUUGUACAGGGAAUUUACAGUUUUCAAAGCACUUCCAAGCCCAUUUUCUCAUUAGAUCAUUUGAUCAUUGACUUCAUGUGGAGCAAGUUUAAUUGACCCCAUCUUAAAGAUGGGGAAACUGAGGCUCAAAGAUUAAAUAAGUUGCCCAAACUCAAUAACAAAGUGAAAAUAGAAGUAGGACCCAUGUCUCCUGACUUCUAAUAGAAGACUCUCCAAUACUGGGUGCCUCAUUUAAUAAUCCCAGGCAGAAAACCAAGUCAUAGAGUCAGAGACCUGGUUUCCAAUCCCCCUCCUAACUUUUGAGGUUUACCAUCUGUGUGAACUUGGACAAAUCACCGGAUUUCCCUAGGUCCCAGUUUCCUUACAUGGACUCUAAUGUCCUUACUAAAUUUAAAUGUAUCUCCUACCCCACCCUGCACAGUCCUGGGCAAGAUGGAUGGGAGAAACAUUCAUUUCAUUAUAGUCUGUCACAGUCCCAGAAAGCCUAUUCUUAAACUCUUCCCUCCUCUUUGGAGUCAGAGGGUCUUCACAGGCUUCUAGUUUACAAUUUAAAUGCAAAUACCCUUUGGACAGGGAUUUCCCUCCCAUCAAUAAAACCAGGGUUAAGUCAAGGAUGGAAAAGUUGGGGGGGGGGGGGCGGGGAGAAGGAGUGAGGAACUUAAGCAUAAUCAAAGCUCCAUAAGGACAUUAACAUUCAUUUUAGUCUUCAUGUCCCCAACAACUUAUUACCUAGGAGGUGCUUAUCCCUAGGAGGUGCUUAUCCAGGCUGCUUGAUUUGUUUGUUUCAAAUGUCGCUCACAUAUAUAUGGACUUUGUUUCCCUCUGAAUAAAACUCCAUAAGGGCAGUAAUUUUCUUUUUUGUCUUUGUAUCCCCAUUGCUUGG
Sarcophilus harrisii (Tasmanian devil) is the source of this 2214-nucleotide long non-coding RNA. NCBI's taxonomy places the organism in Eukaryota, Metazoa, Chordata, Mammalia, Dasyuromorphia, Dasyuridae. The record is from Ensembl.